RNAcentral lists this RNase P RNA (448 nucleotides) under Balneola sp. RNAcentral describes it as "RNase P RNA component class A". It matches the Rfam family "Bacterial RNase P class A". Rfam says of the family: Ribonuclease P (RNase P) is a ubiquitous endoribonuclease, found in archaea, bacteria and eukarya as well as chloroplasts and mitochondria. Its best characterised activity is the generation of mature 5'-ends of tRNAs by cleaving the 5'-leader elements of precursor-tRNAs. Lineage: Bacteria; Pseudomonadati; Balneolota; Balneolia; Balneolales; Balneolaceae. The record is from RNAcentral.
CAGGAAAGCUGGAUGAUCGCUUGGCAUGUUAAAUGCUGGGAGGAAAGUCCGGACACCAACAAGCAUCGCGCUCCCCGAUUCGGUUCAGCCGGCGAAGGGGAGGCUUGAUGAGAGGAAUCUCAUCAUGAUAGACAGUGCAACAGAAAACAAACCGCCACAGCGCGGAACGCUGGAAUAUUUCAAAUCACAAACUCCAAUGUUCAAAAAAAGAUCAAUCAUUGGAAUUUGACACUUGGUUCUUGGAAUUUCCAACGCUCCGCGUUGGGGUAAGGGUGAAAAGGUGAGGUAAAAGCUCACCGCCCCAAGGGCAACUGCGGGGGCACGGCAAACCUCGCGAGGUGCAAGUUCAUGCAGAUGGUAUAUGCCGCUUGUCGUUACGCCAUCGGGUGGAACGCGACAGACAAAUGAUCAUCCCCGACAGAAUCCGGCUUACAGGCUUUCCUGCUUG